UGCGCGACUCAACGGUAGGCGGGCUUGACGAAGCGGGGUUUGCCGACCUCGAGCUGUGGUUGGACAGCGACCCUCAGGAGCUUGAGCUCGAACAG
This 95-nucleotide non-coding RNA is filed under the name Florenciella parvula. Lineage: Eukaryota; Dictyochophyceae; Florenciellales. The record is from RNAcentral.